GACAGAGGCCUCGAGCGUUAGGCGGAAUCACUGGGCUUAAAGCGUGUGUAGGCGGACGCCUAAGCGUCUUGUGAAAUCCCACGGCUCACCCGUGGAACCGCUGGGCAUACUGGGCGUCUUGGGCCAUUCAGGGGCAACUGGAACAAGCGGUGGAGCGGUGAAAUGCGUAGAUAUCGCUUGGAACGCCAAAGGUGAAAACAGGUUGCUGGGAAUGCGCCGACGCUGAGAUGCGAAAGCGUGGGGAGCAAACAGG
Molecule: ribosomal RNA, 253 nt
Filed under: uncultured bacterium
Lineage: Bacteria
Description: partial 16S ribosomal RNA
Rfam family: Bacterial small subunit ribosomal RNA
Source: RNAcentral